GCGGAAGAGCGGAGAGAAACAAAUAUCUGUUGUUACAUGCUUUUAAAUUUGAAAGAUUACAUAACGCUGGAUAAGAAAAUUGAAAAGAAGGGGCGAGGCGAUGAUGGCCCGCGUAGGAAAGCUGCGGGGUAUGCUGAAGGUCUCGUGUUUGAUCCGAAGAAAGGUUUCUACGACAAAGGUUUCUACUGUUAAGGUUCAUUGGUCAUAUGAAGUUUGCACACGUCAAGCUUGACAUCCUAAAGACAUCCUACACAAUGCAUUCUGAAAACGAUACCGUGCAGGUUCGUUGGCGUAUACGUGGUGUCAUCACAGGCUGGAAGGUAUUUUCUGUGUUUUGGAAGUAAAAUUUGUAAAAUACAACAUGUCAUAAAAUAAGCGCUAACCAGGAAAUAUGGUACGACGGCUUUUUUAUUUUUUUUACGUUAAUGCUGAAUGGAAAAGUCUAUAAGCAUAUUGCGGACAAGAUGAUGCCUAAUCAGGAUACAGCCACGAAAAAGAAAGAUAUGCGCAUGGCAGGGAAAUUAGCGCUAUUCACAGGCCUUGUAAACAUAUUUAGUAACAACGAAGAUUCUUUGAAUUGAGCUCUGUCUUAAAAUCGCAUCAAUUGAAGUGAAUCCAUUGCUGAGUGCUGAAAUUAUACGAUUUUAUCCGUCACAACGAAUAGACCAAGAGGAAUGAUUUUUCCAGUCGAUGGUUUCGAAUGUUGCUGACAUAUCUAUUUCGUUGCAAAUGCAUCAUUAUGAAAUGAUGAUCGGUAGUAAAUGAAAGAUAUGUGAAUUAAAAAGAUGUGUACAUUAACUAAACAGUAUCUUUGUUUGAUUACAAACUAUCUUCAUCUAAUUUUUUAGUGAAAAUGUCCGAA
Long non-coding RNA from Temnothorax curvispinosus, 862 nucleotides. RefSeq lists it as uncharacterized. NCBI's taxonomy places the organism in Eukaryota, Metazoa, Arthropoda, Insecta, Hymenoptera, Formicidae. The transcript has 3 exons. The record is from RefSeq and is a predicted model, not a curated record.